This 497-nucleotide ribosomal RNA is filed under the name uncultured bacterium. RNAcentral's name for it is "partial 16S ribosomal RNA". It matches the Rfam family "Bacterial small subunit ribosomal RNA", at positions 28 to 507 of the family's 1533-position model. The record is from RNAcentral.
GAUGAACGCUGGCGGCGUGCCUAAUACAUGCAAGUCGAGCGAACAGAUGAGGAGCUUGCUCCUCUGACGUUAGCGGCGGACGGGUGAGUAACACGUGGAUAACCUACCUAUAAGACUGGGAUAACUUCGGCAAACCGGAGCUAAUACCGGAUAAUAUAUUGAACCGCAUGGUUCAAUAGUGAAAGACGGUUUUGCUGUCACUUAUAGAUGGAUCCGCGCCGCAUUAGCUAGUUGGUAAGGUAACGGCUUACCAAGGCAACGAUGCGUAGCCGACCUGAGAGGGUGAUCGGCCACACUGGAACUGAGACACGGUCCAGACUCCUACGGGAGGCAGCAGUAGGGAAUCUUCCGCAAUGGGCGAAAGCCUGACGGAGCAACGCCGCGUGAGUGAUGAAGGUCUUCGGAUCGUAAAACUCUGUUAUUAGGGAAGAACAAAUGUGUAAGUAACUAUGCACGUCUUGACGGUACCUAAUCAGAAAGCCACGGCUAACUACGUG